RNAcentral lists this ribosomal RNA (389 nucleotides) under uncultured eukaryote. RNAcentral's name for it is "SSU rRNA". It matches the Rfam family "Eukaryotic small subunit ribosomal RNA", at positions 587 to 972 of the family's 1831-position model. The record is from RNAcentral.
AGCUCCAAUAGCGUAUAUUAAAGUUGUUGCAGUUAAAAAGCUCGUAGUUGGAUUUCUGGUGGGAGUGACCGGUCCGUUCCGAAAGGAAUGAGUACUAGUUGUCGUCUCUUGCCAUCCUUGGGGAGAGCGUGCCUGGCAUUAGGUUGUCGGGCUCGGGAUCCCCAUCCUUUACUGUGAAAAAAUUAGAGUGUUUAAAGCAGGCUUAGGCCGUUGAAUACAUUAGCAUGGAAUAAUAAGAUAGGACUUUGGUGGUCUAUUUUGUUGGUUUGCACACCAAGGUAAUGAUUAAUAGGGAUAGUUGGGGGUAUCCGUAUUUCGUAGUCAGAGGUGAAAUUCUUGGAUUUACGAAAGACGAACUACUGCGAAAGCAUUUACCAAGGAUGUUUUCA